Molecule: ribosomal RNA, 488 nt
Filed under: Doryteuthis sanpaulensis
Lineage: Eukaryota; Metazoa; Mollusca; Cephalopoda; Myopsida; Loliginidae
Description: partial 16S ribosomal RNA
Rfam family: Bacterial large subunit ribosomal RNA
Source: RNAcentral
AACAGCUGCGGUAUUUUAACUGUACUAAGGUAGCAUAAUAAUUUGCCUUAUAAUUUGAGGCUAGAAUGAAUGGUUUGACGAAGGUUAAUCUGUCUCUAUUUUACUUUUUAGAAAUUAAUUUUCAUAGUGAAAAAGCUUGAAUUUUGUAAAGGGACGAGAAGACCCUAUUGAGCUUAUAAUUUUAUUGUCAUCAAGAUUGUUAUGUAACUGGUGACAUAUAAAUUUUAAUUGGGGUGAUUGAGGAAUAAAGUUUUAUUGUGGAAGUAACUUCCUUAGUAAUGCAUAUUGUUAAAUGAAGUAACCAAUAAUUAAUUACUAUUGCUUAUACUAUAGUUACCAUAGGGAUAACAGCGUAAUUCAUUUAGAGAGUUCUUAUUGAAAAAUGAGAUUGCGACCUCGAUGUUGGAUUAAAGUAACCUUAAGGUGCAGAAGCUUUAAUAAGGUAAAUCUGUUCGAUUUUUAAAACUUUACGUGAUCUGAGUUCAGAC